CCUUUUCUAUCCCUGGGACUGG
Molecule: microRNA, 22 nt
Filed under: Monodelphis domestica (gray short-tailed opossum)
Lineage: Eukaryota; Metazoa; Chordata; Mammalia; Didelphimorphia; Didelphidae
Description: mdo-miR-1544f-3p
Source: miRBase by way of RNAcentral